Long non-coding RNA from Gasterosteus aculeatus aculeatus (three-spined stickleback), 419 nucleotides. Lineage: Eukaryota; Metazoa; Chordata; Actinopteri; Perciformes; Gasterosteidae. The record is from Ensembl.
GUUUGCAUUAUGUCAUGGUGUGUUUUAUUUAUUUGGGAAGGGGGUCCUUGGAAGUUUUUCAACAAUCAGGAGGGGGCCUAAAGUUACAGGUCCUUCAGGCCCAUUCGCUGCUUUUUGAGCAGCACACCAGAUGGACACUCAGCUUUAAUAUCCACUGGAGACGGUGUGAGCGUGUGAUCAAUAGAAGCUGCAAUGAGAAGCCGAUGACACACCUUUGUGCGAGUGUUCGUGCUGCUGAGGAUAACCAAAACGUUGAGGAGGGCGUGUGUGGCAGGUGCCCUGAAAAAGUGACGCUUUCCCCACCGGCAUGCAAAGCACCGGGAGGCUCCGCUCCAGACUCGGGCGCCGCCGUGAUUAGACUGAGCUGCCGUACGGGGCCCGCGACCGGCGUGAGACUGAUUGGCUCACGUCCGCUUCAC